GACGAACGCUGGCGGCGUGCUUAACACAUGCAAGUCGAACGGAAAGGCCCUGCUUUUGUGGGGUGCUCGAGUGGCGAAAGGGUGAGUAACACGUGAGUAACCUGCCCUUGACUUUGGGAUAACUUCAGGAAACUGGGGCUAAUACCGGAUAGGAGCUCCUGCUGCAUGGUGGGGGUUGGAAAGUUUCGGCGGUUGGGGAUGGACUCGCGGCUUAUCAGCUUGUUGGUGGGGUAGUGGCUUACCAAGGCUUUGACGGGUAGCCGGGCUGAGAGGGUGACCGGCCACAUUGGGACUGAGAUACGGCCCAGACUCCUACGGGAGGCAGCAGUGGGGAAUAUUGCACAAUGGGCGGAAGCCUGAUGCAGCAACGCCGCGUGCGGGAUGACGGCCUUCGGGUUGUAAACCGCUUUCGCCUGUGACGAAGCGUGAGUGACGGUAAUGGGUAAAGAAGCACCGGCUAACUACGUG
Molecule: ribosomal RNA, 468 nt
Filed under: uncultured bacterium
Lineage: Bacteria
Description: partial 16S ribosomal RNA
Rfam family: Bacterial small subunit ribosomal RNA
Source: RNAcentral